UUCACUCCUACCCCCAAUUUCCUUAAACAAAACCAUCACCGCCAGGUGGUGUCUCCACACACAGCGUUUGGGGCACCACCCCUGGCAGCCCCCGCUCCGCUCGGGCACAGGGGUUUCUCUCCCAGUGCCCUGGCCAGGCCCCGGCUGCAGUGGAGAAGCAGAGCGACAAGGGCCUUUUUGAACACCCAGCCUUCUGGAGCCCGGCUCGGACGCCGCAGCUGCCAGCUCUCCGGGGACCCCGGCCCCGCGCCCCCGCCCGGCCCCUCCCCUGCCCGGCCUGCCCGGCUCCGGGUCUCACCCAGAAGAGCAGGUUGAAGCCGAGCAGCAGGGCCCCGCGAGCGCAGCGCCCUCGGUGCUUCUCCGGGCAUCUGCGGGGAAGGAGCGUCCGCUGGGGACCCGAGACCCAUUUAAUCAGCGCCCUGUGCAGAGACUCAUUUGAGGCCUGCGGUGGCUGUACAGAAUGAGGACGCGGCCCCGGUGGCUAUGGAAACCUAGGAAGGUGGCCUCGGGUAGAAGAGCAAAGUGGGACCCCGGGUCGCCUUGAAGCUGGCAGCACCCGUCGCGGGGCACCCGACCCGGGGCUGUGCUCCCCCGGCGCCGGACGAGCGCACAAGCCGCUGGGCCCCUUCUGGGGGACCCUCCGUCGGUCCCUCCCGCGCUCCUCCGGGAAC
Molecule: long non-coding RNA, 671 nt
Organism: Zalophus californianus (California sea lion)
Lineage: Eukaryota; Metazoa; Chordata; Mammalia; Carnivora; Otariidae
Exons: 3
Source: RefSeq, a predicted model, not a curated record